Molecule: ribosomal RNA, 619 nt
Filed under: uncultured bacterium
Lineage: Bacteria
Description: bacterial SSU rRNA
Rfam family: Bacterial small subunit ribosomal RNA
Source: RNAcentral
CCUACGGGAGGCAGCAGUGGGGAAUUUUGGACAAUGGGCGCAAGCCUGAUCCAGCCAUGCCGCGUGCGGGAAGAAGGCCUUCGGGUUGUAAACCGCUUUUGUCAGGGAAGAAAAGGUUCUGGUUAAUACCUGGGACUCAUGACGGUACCUGAAGAAUAAGCACCGGCUAACUACGUGCCAGCAGCCGCGGUAAUACGUAGGGUGCAAGCGUUAAUCGGAAUUACUGGGCGUAAAGCGUGCGCAGGCGGUUAUGCAAGACAGAGGUGAAAUCCCCGGGCUCAACCUGGGAACUGCCUUUGUGACUGCAUAGCUAGAGUGCGGCAGAGGGGGAUGGAAUUCCGCGUGUAGCAGUGAAAUGCGUAGAUAUGCGGAGGAACACCGAUGGCGAAGGCAAUCCCCUGGGCCUGCACUGACGCUCAUGCACGAAAGCGUGGGGAGCAAACAGGAUUAGAUACCCUGGUAGUCCACGCCCUAAACGAUGUCAACUGGUUGUUGGGAGGGUUUCUUCUCAGUAACGUAGCUAACGCGUGAAGUUGACCGCCUGGGGAGUACGGCCGCAAGGUUGAAACUCAAAUGAAUUGACGGCUGAGACGUGCGACGACGACGACGAGGGAGGAGG